This 392-nucleotide ribosomal RNA is filed under the name uncultured bacterium. RNAcentral describes it as "partial 16S ribosomal RNA". It matches the Rfam family "Bacterial small subunit ribosomal RNA", at positions 523 to 918 of the family's 1533-position model. The record is from RNAcentral.
AUACGUAUGUCGCAAGCGUUAUCCGGAUUUAUUGGGCGUAAAGCGCGUCUAGGCGGCUUAGUAAGUCUGAUGUGAAAAUGCGGGGCUCAACCCCGUAUUGCGUUGGAAACUGCUAAACUAGAGUACUGGAGAGGUAGGCGGAACUACAAGUGUAGAGGUGAAAUUCGUAGAUAUUUGUAGGAAUGCCGAUGGGGAAGCCAGCCUACUGGACAGAUACUGACGCUAAAGCGCGAAAGCGUGGGUAGCAAACAGGAUUAGAUGCCCUGGUAGUCCACGCCGUAAACGAUGAUUACUAGGUGUUGGGGGUCGAACCUCAGCGCCCAAGCUAACGCGAUAAGUAAUCCGCCUGGGGAGUACGUACGCAAGUAUGAAACUCAAAUGAAUUGGCGGGG